RNAcentral lists this long non-coding RNA (503 nucleotides) under Capsella rubella. RNAcentral's name for it is "long non-coding RNA (CRUB_LNC002886)". The record is from RNAcentral. Lineage: Eukaryota; Viridiplantae; Streptophyta; Magnoliopsida; Brassicales; Brassicaceae.
AAGAUUACAAAACAAAAAAAAAAAACAAAAAAAAAAACAAGAACCAUUUAAGAACUUAUUAAGCAACAAUGGCCAUCGAAAAGAGAACCAUGAUUGCCUCAUUCGUCAUCGUACUGAUGAUGGUAACGAUGAUCGUGACCAAUGUUGAGGCUAGGAAUCAUGUCAAGAUCAAGCCCCCAGCAAACCCCAAGUUUUACCUUUUCUAAAUUGAUGGCUCAUAAAAUGUUUACAAGAAAAUAAAUGGUUAUUGCUUCGACGUACGAGGAGCUUAGCUUCAAGCAUUGGUUUUAACCAAUGUUUGUUUUUAAUAUGUAUUUCACUUCCAUCCUCUUAUUUGUUUAGUUAUGGAUGGAUGGAGUAAUUUGAAUAAUAAAUUGUGUAAAAAAAAAAGAAUAUUUAUACGUUAAUGAAAUAUAAUAGUUUCAUAUUUCAGUGACAAUAAUGUUUUUUUUUUUUUGCUAUGAAUGUUAAUAUAAUUAUAAGUGAAAACGUUUGGUUUUAUU